RNAcentral lists this ribosomal RNA (241 nucleotides) under Salmonella enterica. RNAcentral describes it as "partial 23S ribosomal RNA". It matches the Rfam family "Bacterial large subunit ribosomal RNA", at positions 950 to 1190 of the family's 2925-position model. The record is from RNAcentral. Lineage: Bacteria; Pseudomonadati; Pseudomonadota; Gammaproteobacteria; Enterobacterales; Enterobacteriaceae.
CAAACUGCGAAUACCGGAGAAUGUUAUCACGGGAGACACACGGCGGGUGCUAACGUCCGUCGUGAAGAGGGAAACAACCCAGACCGCCAGCUAAGGUCCCAAAGUCAUGGUUAAGUGGGAAACGAUGUGGGAAGGCCCAGACAGCCAGGAUGUUGGCUUAGAAGCAGCCAUCAUUUAAAGAAAGCGUAAUAGCUCACUGGUCGAGUCGGCCUGCGCGGAAGAUGUAACGGGGCUAAACCAU